AGAGAGAGAGAGAAGCACUGUCUCGUCGUAACCUAGCGGAGCCGUUUGGUUGCUGCUGCUGCUGUUUGAUCGAAGUGGGAGAGGUGAAAGUUUGUGUGCCGCAGAGCAAUCGGAGUCUGCACUAACUUGGAAUCGGUCUGUUCGUAACCUAGCGGAACCGUCUCUUUAUGCCGUCGCUACUGCUGUUUGAUCGGAGUGGGAGAGAAGGAAGUUUGUGUGCCGCAGAGCAAUCGGAGUCUUCACUGAAUUGUGAAUAAGGUGUCGCAUGAUCAACCUUACUAUUUUCCUUUUAUAGUGGGCACACAAGACAGUAUGUAUGUACCGGCAUGGGUUAGCAUAAUGGAAACGCCAGACAAUAUUGGAAGCACAUCAGGAAUGGUCAACAAUAUAAACAGUCAAAGUUCUAUAGUACCAUCAAAAUUUGUUGACUUGAAUAUAGAUGUGGAUCUAAAUGCCCCAUUUUAUUUUUAGUUUUGCACUAUUAAUUGUUGGCCAUUGUUUGGCCCUUUGUGUUUUUGGUUAAUCAUGGAUGAUUUGUAAUUUGUGGUUUGCUAAACUUGUAUGAAUUCUGAGAGUGUUGCCUCCUUUGUAAGAAUAUUUGAAUAGUGGUUUCCUAAAUUUGUGAUUUGCUAAAGAUUUGAUAAUGCUGCCUGUUGCCUCAUUUGUAUG
Non-coding RNA from Camellia sinensis, 669 nucleotides. NCBI's taxonomy places the organism in Eukaryota, Viridiplantae, Streptophyta, Magnoliopsida, Ericales, Theaceae. The record is from RefSeq and is a predicted model, not a curated record.